Molecule: ribosomal RNA, 554 nt
Filed under: Equus caballus (horse)
Lineage: Eukaryota; Metazoa; Chordata; Mammalia; Perissodactyla; Equidae
Description: partial large subunit ribosomal RNA
Rfam family: Bacterial large subunit ribosomal RNA
Source: RNAcentral
CACCUCUAGCAUUUCCAGUAUUAGAGGCACUGCCUGCCCAGUGACAUCUGUUUAAACGGCCGCGGUAUCCUAACUGUGCAAAGGUAGCAUAAUCACUUGUUCCCUAAAUAGGGACUUGUAUGAAUGGCCACACGAGGGUUUUACUGUCUCUUACUUCCAAUCAGUGAAAUUGACCUUCCCGUGAAGAGGCGGGAAUGACUAAAUAAGACGAGAAGACCCUAUGGAGCUUUAAUUAACUGAUUCACAAAAAACAACACACAAACCUAACCUUCAGGGACAACAAAACUUUUGAUUGAAUCAGCAAUUUCGGUUGGGGUGACCUCGGAGAACAAAACAACCUCCGAGUGAUUUAAAUCCAGACUAACCAGUCAAAAUAUAUAAUCACUUAUUGAUCCAAACCAUUGAUCAACGGAACAAGUUACCCUAGGGAUAACAGCGCAAUCCUAUUCCAGAGUCCAUAUCGACAAUUAGGGUUUACGACCUCGAUGUUGGAUCAAGACAUCCUAAUGGUGCAACCGCUAUUAAGGGUUCGUUUGUUCAACGAUUAAAGUCUU